RNAcentral lists this ribosomal RNA (241 nucleotides) under uncultured bacterium. RNAcentral's name for it is "partial 16S ribosomal RNA". It matches the Rfam family "Bacterial small subunit ribosomal RNA", at positions 95 to 334 of the family's 1533-position model. The record is from RNAcentral.
CCGGCGCACGGGUGAGUAACACGUAUCCAACCUGCCGUCUACUCUUGGCCAGCCUUCUGAAAGGAAGAUUAAUCCAGGAUGGGAUCAUGAGUUCACAUGUCCGCAUGAUUAAAGGUAUUUUCCGGUAGACGAUGGGGAUGCGUUCCAUUAGAUAGUAGGCGGGGUAACGGCCCACCUAGUCAACGAUGGAUAGGGGUUCUGAGAGGAAGGUCCCCCACAUUGGAACUGAGACUCGGUCCAA